CAAGUCGAGCGCUUCACUUCGGUGAGGAGCGGCGGACGGGUUAGUAACGCGUGGGAACAUACCCUUUUCUAAGGAAUAGCCACUGGAAACGGUGAGUAAUACCUUAUACGCCCUUCGGGGGAAAGAUUUAUCGGUGAAGGAUUGGCCCGCGUUAGAUUAGUUAGUUGGUGGGGUAAUGGCCUACCAAGACUACGAUCUAUAGCUGGUUUGAGAGGAUGAUCAGCAACACUGGGACUGAGACACGGCCCAG
This 250-nucleotide ribosomal RNA is filed under the name uncultured bacterium. RNAcentral's name for it is "partial 16S ribosomal RNA". It matches the Rfam family "Bacterial small subunit ribosomal RNA", at positions 58 to 334 of the family's 1533-position model. The record is from RNAcentral.